Molecule: small RNA, 34 nt
Filed under: Plasmodium falciparum 3D7
Lineage: Eukaryota; Apicomplexa; Aconoidasida; Haemosporida; Plasmodiidae
Description: Pfa-mtR31
Source: RNAcentral
ACGGUAAGACCCUGAGCACCUUAACUUCCCUAAA